Molecule: ribosomal RNA, 440 nt
Filed under: uncultured bacterium
Lineage: Bacteria
Description: partial 16S ribosomal RNA
Rfam family: Bacterial small subunit ribosomal RNA
Source: RNAcentral
CCUACGUGGGGCAGCAGUGGGGAAUAUUGCACAAUGGGGAAAACCCUGAUGCAGCGACGCCGCGUGAGUGAAGAAGUAUUUCGGUAUGUAAAGCUCUAUCAGCCGGGAAGAAAAUGACGGUACCUGCUUAAGCCGCCCCGGCUAACUACGUUCCAGCAGCCGCGGUACUACGUAGGGGGCAAGCGUUAUCCGGAUUUACUGGGUGUAAAGGGAGCGUAGACGGCAGCACAAGUCUGGAGUGAAAUGCCGGGGCUUAACCCCGGAACUGCUUUGGAAACUGUGCAGCUAGAGUGCAGGAGAGGUAAGCGGAAUUCCUAGUGUAGCGGUGAAAUGCGUAGAUAUUAGGAAGAACACCAGUGGCGAAGGCGGCUUGCUGGACUGAAACUGACGCUGAGGCACGAAAGCGUGGGGAGCGAACAGGAUUAGAUACCCCUGUAGUC